UAGGGAAUCUUCCGCAAUGGGCGAAAGCUUGACGGAGCAACGCCGCGUGAGUGAUGAAGGUCUUCGGAUCGUAAACCUCUGUUAUUAGGGAAGAACAAAUGUGUAAGUAACUAUGCACGUCUUGACGGUACCUAAUCAGAAAGCCACGGCUAACUACGUGCCAGCAGCCGCGGUAAUACGUAGGUGGCAAGCGUUAUCCGGAAUUAUUGGGCGUAAAGCGCGCGUAGGCGGUUUUUUAAGUCUGAUGUGAAAGCCCACGGCUCAACCGUGGAGGGUCAUUGGAAACUGGAAAACUUGAGUGCAGAAGAGGAAAGUGGAAUUCCAUGUGUAGCGGUGAAAUGCGCAGAGAUAUGGAGGAACACCAGUGGCGAAGGCGACUUUCUGGUCUGUAACUGACGCUGAUGUGCGAAAGCGUGGGGAUCAAACAGG
Molecule: ribosomal RNA, 429 nt
Filed under: Actinomycetes bacterium
Lineage: Bacteria; Bacillati; Actinomycetota; Actinomycetes
Description: Actinobacteria bacterium partial 16S ribosomal RNA
Rfam family: Bacterial small subunit ribosomal RNA
Source: RNAcentral